RNAcentral lists this ribosomal RNA (935 nucleotides) under uncultured Helotiales. RNAcentral describes it as "eukaryotic LSU rRNA". The stretch from base 328 to 935 matches the Rfam family "Eukaryotic large subunit ribosomal RNA", at positions 1 to 610 of the family's 3401-position model. Lineage: Eukaryota; Fungi; Ascomycota; Leotiomycetes; Helotiales. The record is from RNAcentral.
UGAGUACUAUCUAAUAGUUAAAACUUUCAACAACGGAUCUCUUGGCUCUGGCAUCGAUGAAGAACGCAGCGAAAUGCGAUAAGUAAUGUGAAUUGCAGAAUUCAGUGAAUCAUCGAAUCUUUGAACGCACAUUGCGCCCUCUGGUAUUCCGGGGGGCAUGCCUGUUCGAGCGUCAUUACAACCCUCAAGCUCUGCUUGGUGUUGGGCUCGCCCUGUAGGGCCUGCCUCAAAGUCAGUGGCGGCACCGUCUGACCCUAAGCGUAGUACUACUCGCCGCUUCUGGGACCGGUCGGCUGCCUGCCAGCUUAACCCCAACCAUAUCAAGGUUGACCUCGGAUCAGGUAGGGAUACCCGCUGAACUUAAGCAUAUCAAUAAGCGGAGGAAAAGAAACCAACAGGGAUUGCCUCAGUAACGGCGAGUGAAGCGGCAACAGCUCAAAUUUGAAAGCUGGCUCCUUUGGGGGCCCGCGUUGUAAUUUGUAGAGGAUGCUUCGGGUGCGGCGCCGGUCUAAGUUCUUUGGAGCAAGACGUCAUAGAGGGUGAGAAUCCCGUAUGUGACUGGUUGCCUGUGCCCGUGUGAAGCUCCUUCGACGAGUCGAGUUGUUUGGGAAUGCAGCUCUAAAUGGGUGGUAAAUUUCAUCUAAAGCUAAAUAUUGGCCAGAGACCGAUAGCGCACAAGUAGAGUGAUCGAAAGAUGAAAAGCACUUUGGAAAGAGAGUUAAACAGUACGUGAAAUUGUUGAAAGGGAAGCGCUUGCAAUCAGACUUGCGCGGCGUCGAUCAGCCUGGGUUCUCCCUGGUGCACUCGGCGCCGCUCAGGCCAGCAUCAGUUUUGACGGUGAGAUAAAGGCCUAGGGAACGUAGGUCGCCUCGGCGACUGUUAUAGCCCUAGGUGCCAUGUCGCCUGUCGGGACUGAGGACCGCGCUUCGGCCAGG